RNAcentral lists this ribosomal RNA (253 nucleotides) under uncultured bacterium. RNAcentral describes it as "partial 16S ribosomal RNA". It matches the Rfam family "Bacterial small subunit ribosomal RNA", at positions 524 to 776 of the family's 1533-position model. The record is from RNAcentral.
UACAGAGGUCUCAAGCGUUGUUCGGAUUCAUUGGGCGUAAAGGGUGUGUAGGUGGCGCCGUAAGUCGGGUGUGAAAUUUCGGAGCUUAACUCCGAAACUGCAUUCGAUACUGCGGUGCUUGAGGACUGGAGAGGAGACUGGAAUUCAUGGUGUAGCAGUGAAAUGCGUAGAGAUCAUGAGGAAGACCAGUGGCGAAGGCGGGUCUCUGGACAGUUCCUGACACUGAGGUGCGAAAGCUAGGGGAGCGAACGGG